Molecule: ribosomal RNA, 205 nt
Filed under: Lotharella globosa
Lineage: Eukaryota; Cercozoa; Chlorarachniophyceae
Description: partial Bacterial small subunit ribosomal RNA
Rfam family: Bacterial small subunit ribosomal RNA
Source: RNAcentral
GGAACGUGCCCAGUCGUGGGGGAUAACUGCUCGAAAGAGCAGCUAAUACCGCAUACGACCUGAGGGUGAAAGCGGGGGAUCGCAAGACCUCGCGCGAUUGGAGCGGCCGAUAUCAGAUUAGGUAGUUGGUGAGGUAAAGGCUCACCAAGCCGACGAUCUGUAGCUGGUCUGAGAGGACGACCAGCCACACUGGGACUGAGACACG